AUUGAACGCUGGCGGCAUGCCUUACACAUGCAAGUCGAACGGUAGAGUAGCAAUACUCGAGAGUGGCGAACGGGUGAGUAAUAUAUCGGAACGUGCCCAGUCGUGGGGGAUAACGUAGAGAAAUUUACGCUAAUACCGCGUACGAUCUACGGAUGAAAGCGGGGGAUCGCAAGACCUCGCGCGAUUGGAGCGGCUGAUAU
This 200-nucleotide ribosomal RNA is filed under the name uncultured bacterium. Its description in RNAcentral is "partial 16S ribosomal RNA". It matches the Rfam family "Bacterial small subunit ribosomal RNA", at positions 30 to 236 of the family's 1533-position model. The record is from RNAcentral.